GAUGAAGAACGUAGCGAAAUGCGAUACUUGGUGUGAAUUGCAGAAUCCCGUGAACCAUCGAGUCUUUGAACGCAAGUUGCGCCUCAAGCCAUUAGGUUGAGGGCACGUCUGCCUGGGCGUCACAUAUCGUUGCCUGAUGCCAGUUUCCUCGUGAUGGGUGACUGUGCAGGGCGAAUGAUGGCUUCCCGUGAGCAUUGUUGCCUCAUGGUUGGUUGAAAAUUGAGUCCUUGGUAGGGAGCGCCGUGAUAGAUGGUGGUUGAGUGACGAAAGAGACCCAAUCAUGUGAGACCCCUACCGAAUUUGGCCUUCAUGACCCACAUGCGUCUUUGGAACGCUCAUGACGAGACCUCAGGUCAGGCGGGGCUACCCGCUGAGUUUAAGCAUAUCAAUAAGCGGAGGA
This 400-nucleotide unclassified non-coding RNA is filed under the name soil metagenome. RNAcentral's name for it is "partial contains 5.8S ribosomal RNA, internal transcribed spacer 2, and large subunit ribosomal RNA". The stretch from base 1 to 122 matches the Rfam family "5.8S ribosomal RNA", at positions 35 to 154 of the family's 154-position model. The record is from RNAcentral.